This 253-nucleotide ribosomal RNA is filed under the name uncultured bacterium. RNAcentral's name for it is "partial 16S ribosomal RNA". It matches the Rfam family "Bacterial small subunit ribosomal RNA", at positions 524 to 776 of the family's 1533-position model. The record is from RNAcentral.
GACGUAGGAGGCGAGCGUUGUCCGGAUUCAUUGGGCGUAAAGCGUGCGCAGGCGGUUUUGCAAGCCAGAUGUGAAAGCCCCGGGCUUAACCUGGGAAUGGCAUUUGGGACUGCAAGGCUUGAGUGCGGCAGAGGAGACUGGAAUUCCCGGUGUAGCAGUGAAAUGCGUAGAUAUCGGGAGGAAUACCGAUGGCGAAGGCAGGUCUCUGGGCUGACACUGACGCUCAUGCACGAAAGCGUGGGGAGCAAACAGG